UGCAGUCGAACGGCAGCACGGGCUUCGGCCUGGUGGCGAGUGGCGAACGGGUGAGUAAUGCAUCGGAACGUGCCCAUGUCGUGGGGGAUAACGUAGCGAAAGCUACGCUAAUACCGCAUACGCCCUGAGGGGGAAAGCGGGGGAUUCUUCGGAACCUCGCGCGAUUGGAGCGGCCGAUGUCGGAUUAGCUAGUAGGUGAGGUAAAGGCUCACCUAGGCGACGAUCCGUAGCGGGUCUGAGAGGAUGAUCCGCCACACUGGGACUGAGACACGGCCCAGACUCCUACGGGAGGCAGCAGUGGGGAAUUUUGGACAAUGGGGGCAACCCUGAUCCAGCCAUGCCGCGUGAGUGAAGAAGGCCUUCGGGUUGUAAAGCUCUUUCGGCCGGGAAGAAAUCGGCGACUCUAACAUAGUCGCUGGAUGACGGUACCGGACUAAGAAGCACCGGCUAACUACGUGCCA
RNAcentral lists this ribosomal RNA (461 nucleotides) under uncultured bacterium. RNAcentral's name for it is "bacterial SSU rRNA". It matches the Rfam family "Bacterial small subunit ribosomal RNA", at positions 56 to 510 of the family's 1533-position model. The record is from RNAcentral.